This 728-nucleotide long non-coding RNA is filed under the name Homo sapiens (human). RNAcentral's name for it is "HSALNT0059089". The record is from RNAcentral. Lineage: Eukaryota; Metazoa; Chordata; Mammalia; Primates; Hominidae.
UGAUUAGAUGACUGGUAUUAAUCUGAUUAACCAAAGAGACAAGGUAUUACUAAAUUCCUCAUCCCUGGUAACAUUUCCAUGUUAGCUGUUUUCUAUUUGUUUUUUCUUUUCCACAAUGGUGCGGCCUAGAAACAGUUAACCUUCUUCGGGGUAUUACAUACCUUAGACAUAUAAAAAAGCUAUGAGCAUUCAACACUGAAAUAAUCAUAUAAACCAAACAUACUGCACACUACUUCAGGGAUACUCUGAAGCCCAUCCUUAGACCCCAGACUCAAACAAAACAAAAUACGAUGUAAAGAACUGACACAAAUCAUCAGAGUUUAGAGAACAACGUGACGGGCAGCAGAGGAGAGGAGAGGGUUGAAGCAAACUUUUUUGGUUUUUUUUUCCUAAGUAGGGCUGGUUCUGGCUUGUCUUCCUUCUCCCCACUUUGCUUCUUACUCUUGGGCUUACAAACUGCCUGGUUUCCCUUCUCCAAGUCAGGGCUUCGUUUCUCUGCCUUGGCCUUCCUACCCCACCUUCUGCGUUCUGACUCCAUGAGGCCCUUUUCGCGUCUCAUUUUCUGCCUUCUUUAGGCGUUCCCUCGGCGGCUCUGCAGUGUGAUCUCAUCUCUUUGUUUCUCCCCGGCUGCCGUCAGUCACCGGCUCUCUGCGCCCCCACCCGCGCGGGCUCGCGGCCGUGCUGCGGGCGUGGCCUCAGCCGCUGAGACCCUGGGGACCGCAGGGCGU